This 1793-nucleotide long non-coding RNA is filed under the name Mus musculus (house mouse). Its description in RNAcentral is "RIKEN cDNA A630031M04 gene". The record is from RNAcentral. Lineage: Eukaryota; Metazoa; Chordata; Mammalia; Rodentia; Muridae.
CUCUUUCCUCUGCUGCUCAGCACAGGGACAGGUUCAGCUGUGCUCUCACCUGCAAGGUCUAGAUUGAUCGAUUGGAGAACCCCGUUUCUUUCCUAGGAUUGAAGCACUCUGUCUUCAAGAGCGAGUGGGGAAUGCAGAGGUAAAAGACUUUCUCCUUGGCUUCUGCAGUGCAGAAACGUCCCGUAGACGGAGAUAUCCUAGCAGCAAGCCCCACUUUCCAGUAACUGAAGUCAUCUGCAGACACUGAGACCGUCCUUCGGAGGUGGGGCAGCUGAGAACCAUUGAAUACGGGAAGGCGUCUGAAGGCUCGUGGAAGCAGGGAUGCAGAAACACAUCCUCAUCACCUCCCGUCUCGCCUUCUCCCUCAGGAGAGCUAGAAGUACAGUCCUCCCAGCAAGGUCCAGGGAGAAAGAGCUUGGUUGGUGGAGGCUCACGUGUGAGCUGGAGAGAGCGUGGGUUUCUUCAUCUCCAUGGGGGUGAUGGGAUCCCAGUACUUCUGAAGUGGGACAGUGGGACUGAAGCCUCACAGACAGGAAAGGCACUCGUUCACUAACCACACCUGGGCAGAGAUGGCCACACUGAUGUUUUAUCAGGCGAUUUUGCCUUGAUCAGGCCAGCUGCUUCGGGGAGGUGGGAAGGCUAGCACAAAGCCUCUGUGAAUGCUUGCAUUUGCUCCUUGGUGCUCACUCAUGCUUCCUCAGAGCGAAAGCUCCCCACUCCUCCAGCGUGCUUGGGCACAGCUGAGUAGGCGGGACAUGACGUGCCAAUUUGCUCUUCCUUCCCCGAAGGCCGCUUCCAGACCAUAUUUUUUAAUUUACAGAAUUUCUUAUCUAUUCCCUUGUUAUCCUGGAUACCAAUAUUUCUGCUAGCCAGAGAAUCCUUCAAACAAGAAAGACCCGGACUACGAAUCUUUAGAAUACACUGCUCUUUAUAGCCCCAGAGCAGCAGGCUCUAUAAUAUGGGGGGAUGCCUAUGACGGGCCAGCUAUAAUCCCAACUGAGGGAGGGCAUCUGGGCAGUAGGCUGGGGUUCUGCUGAUAUCAGGUGCUGACCGUUCCAUAGCCAGUGUGCUUGGACCUGAGCCCCGAGGAAGAUGGGAGCAUCCUUCCUCCGGGAUUUUACCCAAUAACCUAUAUGAACAUUUUGUGCUGUCUUCCUGAUCUUGAGCUACAGGAGCAGUGGAAGCUGAAAGUGCCCUGGCCAGUGAGAUUCUUUAGCAGCUAAGCAACAGGCUGAAGUAGCUUCUGUGUUGGGCAAGGAGGCUUCUAACCAUCUGAGCCUACCAGUGGAAAAUCAAGCAGACCCGUAAAGCAAGACCUUACAUCCCACAGGCGUGGAGAAUUGGGUUAUGGCACUAAGCAAUGGAUUCCCAUCAGCCAAGGAAAAAAAAUGAUGCUGAUGAAUUUUAAAGUUCAUGUAGUCGGAGAUGUCCUGAUGCCUGCCACAAUGAACUUGACUGAUACAACCCAACAAGCAGAUGCUUGGUGUCUGGCCUGAAGCAUUGUUUAGCGGGAUGAGAGAUUAUAGGGCUCUUUACAAGUGAUCACCUACCAUGUAUGUGGGUAAAGGUUGACUACACAACCACCGUUCUGUAAAAAUGUGUUAAUCACAAGAAACAUACCACAAACCAUCAGAAAGAUUUGGCCUAGAUGUCCUGGAGAUAUUGGCACAACAAACAAGCAAACAAAACUCCAAAACAAAAGAAAUUCACAAACAAACAACAAGACCAAUGGCAUGUUUCAGUCCGUUGACUUUUUACCAGACAAGAAAUAAAAACUCUUCCUGGCUUGGGUU